GAUACUCAAUCCCAAAUGCGCAAGCGUACACUUAGUCAUCAAGAUGGUAUAUUAUGCAAAUUUUCACAACUUUCCAACUCCUUCACUCUAUUCCUACUGUCUAAUUCGAACCCUCAAAUUUCUAUUUACCCACAACAUGUAUUUUCCCCAGCGUUGAUUUUCAGUACAAUCAUUAACAAAUAAUUACCCAUCGCAAGGAGUUGGGGAGAAAGAGGAGUGUAAUGAAAAAUGUGAUACUUCUUAAAUUUGACUAACAAUAUAAAGGGUUGAAAUGGACAUACCAGAUAUGGGCUGAACAUGAGCAAGGUAAGUCCUACUUUUUGAAUUCCUUUUUGAUUUUGUUUUUCUCAGUGUUUUUGGUCCUUUCUUUCUUUUUGUUUGUCUUAUGCACUGUGCCCGUGUGUGUGUGAGUAAAGACUAAAAACAAGAAUAAGAGAGAGACCUAGGGCUUAGUACCUGAGAGUUUUACGGUGAAAAAAUUCAUCGAAUAAUAUAUUUAUGCUGCCGCAUAUGUGUUAUGCGAUGGGUUAGUGACUGUGUUGUGCAACAGAUCUGCAACCAGUUCUGCGAUCGCAGAAUCAUUAUGCGGUCCACAGAAAGUGAAUCCUCACCGCAUUUAUUAAGGACAAAUUUUCAUUUUUUCAGCUUGUUUAUGUGAUCACUAUGCAGUACUCAAAUCCGUUAUACGAUCUUGCAUUCUAACACACACGAAAAACUGUUCAACAUUUAAAAAUAAACUUACCGAAAUUAAAAUCUAACCAAAAAGUGUUACCAACACAUGGGUUGCCUCCCAAGAAGCAAUUAAUUUAACAUCACAGCACGACGAUAUUUCCCAAAUUUUGGCUAACCAGUUGUGGGGGUUGGUGUAAGACCAUCCUUGAGUGCGAGUUGUUCUACCAAGUGCCUUUCUCCAAUGAUUCCAAGGUAAUGCUUGAACUCUUUGCCAUUUAAUUUGAAGGUGCGAGUCUCGUCCUCAGAUUCUAAUUCAAUAGCGCCGUAGGAAGACACAUUCACAACUUUGAACGGGCCAGACCAUUUGGAUUUGAGUUUGCCAGGAAACAACUUCAGACUUGAGUUGAAGAGUAAGAAGAAGUCAUUGGAUUUGAAUCCCGCUUCAAAAUCUUCUUAUCAUAAACAAACUUCAUUCUUUAUUUAUACGUGGUUGCAUUCUCAUAUGCAUGAAAAUUUAUUCUUCCAUUUAGUUGAGUUGAGUCAUCCUUAGAUUAGAAGCUUAGGUCUAGUGAAGUUUUAACUUUUUCAAUGCCAAGAUAGCUUUGUGUUCAAGCUCCACUGGCAAGUGACGCGUCUUACCAAAAACAAACCGGUAUGGUGAGGUGCCAAUGAGAGUCUUAAAUGAUGUUCGAUUUUCCCAAAAUGUAUCAUCUAGAUUCUUUGACUAGUCGGUCCUGUUUGCAUUAACAAUUUUUGCAUGAAUAUUUUUGAUCUCCUGGUUGGAAACUUUAACUUGACCGCUCGACUGAGGAUGAUAAGAGGUUGCCACCUUUUUCAUAACUCCAUAUUUUUAGAGCAACCCAUAAAUAUAUUUGUUGCAAAAGUGAAAACCACCAUCUUUAAGAAUAGCCCUUGGGUUCCAAAUUGAGUAAAUAUGUUCUACUUCAAGAAGGCGGUUACACUCCUUGGCUCAUUGUUUGGCAAGGAAACUGCCUCGCCCAUUUCAAGACAUAAUCUACUUCCACAAAUAUAUAUGUCAUGCCGUUAGAGAUUACAAAGGGACCCAUGAAACCUUUCCCCCACACAUCAAAGAUCUUGACCUCUAUCACAAAGUUCAUAGGCAUAUUCUAGAAAUGACCCUUGUCUUUGACAUUGAUCACAUGCCUUGACUAUUUGGUUUGCUUCCUGGUAGAUCUAUGACCAAUAAUAGGAACAUUUAAGCACUUUUUCUGCAGUACGAUUUCCACUGUGGUAGCCCCUAACUAGGGAGUCACGACAAACUUUGAGACUUUGAAUUACCUUAUCUUUCGAAAUACAACACUGAAUGAUGCAGUCUGUGCAAAUACGGAACAAAAAGGGUUCGUCCCAAUUGUAUUGCCUACACUCAUGCAAGAACUUUUCUUUUGAUAAGCUUCCAAUCUUUCGGGGAUAAGGUUACUAACCAAGAAGUUAGCGUUGUUGGCAUACCAAGAAGUGAUGGCACUAGAAAAUGCCAAUAUGAGUUCAUAACGAAGGCAUCAUUUAUUUCAAGAUCUUCACUUUUUCUCCCUACCUCUUCAAGCCUAGACAAGUGAUCCACAACUUGAUUAUCUGUUCCUUUCUGAUCUUUGACUUCAAUAUCAAACUCUUGUAACAAAAGAACUCACCUAAUUAAUCUUGAUUUAGCAUCCUUCUUUUCCAUAAGGUAGCAGAGAGCAGCAUGAUCAUUGUGGACUCUCACUUUAGAGUCCAACAAAUAGGCCUUGAUUUUUUUCAAACGAAUAGAGAAUAGAAACAAUUCUUUCUCCAUCACGGUGUAAUUCAUUUGUGCGCCAUUGAGUGUCUUGCGUGCAUAGUAUAUAGGAUGAAGAAUCUUGUUAUUUCUUUGACCAAGUACUACUCCAAUCACUAAACCACUAGCAUCACGCAUGAGUCCAAAUGGAAGAAACCAAUCGGAUGUGACAAUAAUAGGUGGUGUGGUAAGCCUUACUUUCAAUUCCUUGAAAUCUUUGAGACACUUCUCAUGGAACUCAGUCUUAGUAUCCUUUUCAAGGAACUUGCACAUGGGACUUGCAGUUUUUUAGAAGUCUUUGAUAAAUUGCCUAUAAAAAUCGGCAUGUCCCAAAAAGCUCCGAAUGCCUUUUACCAAAGUGGGAGGAGGAAGCUUGGAAAUGAUCUCGAUUUUCGCCUGAUAAAUCUCUAUGCCUUGCUUGGAAAUUUUAUGGCCAAGAACAAUACCAUCGUCAACCAUAAAGUGACAUUUUUUUUUGAUUAAGUACAAGGUUUAGGUUCUCACAUCUUUUGAGCACUUGCCUAAGGUUGUCAAGCCAAUUCUCAAAGGAAUCACCAACUACAGAAUAGUCAUCCAUGAACAUCUCUAAGAAAUCCUCAACCAUCUCCGAGAAGAUUGAAAUCAUGCAUCGUUGAAAGGUAGUCGGGCAUUACAUAGCCCAGAUAUCUUCCAACUAAAGGCAAAGGUACCAUACAGACAUAUGAAUGACAUCUUCUCUUGAUCCUCCAAGGCGUAUUGAUUUGGUUGUGGCCAUAAUAACCAUCAAAUAAGCAAUAAAAUGACCUUCCCACAAGCUGAUUAAGCUUUUUGUCUAUAAAUGGCAUGGGGAAAUGGUCUUUGCAAGUAGCACUAUUGAGCUUCUGGUAGUCCAUGAAAACUCCACUCGGUUACUGUCCUCGUUGGGAUGAGUUCAUUUUUCUUAUUUUGAAUCACGGGCAUGCCUCCUUUCUUUGGCACACAUUGAACCAGACUCACCCAUGGACUACCGGCAUUAGGAGAAACCCCAAUAUCCAACCAUUUUAUAACUUCUUUCUUCACUGUCUAUUGCAUGGAAGGAUUUAACCUUCUUUGAUGCUCCACACUAGUUUUUUUCUCCUCUUCCAAAUGUAUCUUGUGCUCACAAAUUCCAAUAGGAAUCCCUCAGAUAUCCGCUAUAGUCCAACCAAUGGCUUGCGUGUGGUCUCUCACGACAUCUAAGAAGUGUUUAAUCUGCGCAUUAUUCAACAAAGAAGAAACAAUUAUGGGUAGAGCUUCAUUAGAUCCACGAAUUUUAUACCUUAAUACGGUGGAAGUGGCUUGAGCUCAAGUUGUGGCGGCUUCGCAAUUGAAGGCUUAGCGGGAGGGGUGACUAUAUUCUCUAAGUCAAGAGAAAGCUUUUUUUGAUGCAUAAGUGUAGGACCCAAGCCCUUCUAAUACAUUCACCGAUUCCAUGUAUCCUUCCAUAUAUUCACCAUCAAAAUUCACCAAAAUAGCCGUUAAUGCCACACCAAGGAAUUACUCUUCCAUCUUCACCUUGAAUGCACCCUCUACCUUAUCUACAACAUCAUUGAUUGAGAUACUUUCGUAUGUAUGUGGUAAUUUCAUAAAGGUAACUUCUUCAUCAUUAACUCGGAACUUAAUCUCAUUUCGUUUCGAGUCCACCAGUGCCCUCCCAGUAGCAAGGAAUGGUUUCCCCAAGAUGAUUGGGAUAUCUUUAUCAACAGCACAAUCGAGGAUAACAAAGUCGACAGGGAGGAGAAACUUCCCCACUUUCACAAUAACAUCAUCAACAAUUCCCACCGAUCACUUUAUUGAAUAGUCGGCCAUUGCAACCUCAUACUUGUUUGCCUAGGCAUACCUAUUCCCUCUUUCUUGUAAAUAGCAAGUGGAAUUAAGUUGAUGAUAGGUUCAUUAUCACAAAGUGCUCCUUAAAAAUCGUGUGUUUAUCAUUAAAAUGGUAAUAACAGUUAAAUUUAUUGAUGGGACUCUAAAAAUACGUAAUCUAUUUUAUGCUAGUUGUUAGAGCAAUGGAGGCUAGAUAUGUGAAGUUUAACGAUGGAAUACGAACUAAAAUAGAGUUAUAAUCAAACCGAGGGGCUUGUGAUCCGGGCCUUGGACUGGCCGACGAAGGGCCUCGAGGUCGAUGCCUGCUUAAGCUCGAGCUAUCGGGGGUAACCAAGUAGGGACUAACAGUUAGGAUAUAAUUAAAGGAGGCUCUUCAUGGUCAAUAUUAAGCAAUGACAGAAGAACAAGUAUGAAACCAAUAAGUAGAAAGGAAAGCCUCGAGCGAGUAAGUUAGAGAGAAAAGAGAGUUGUUAUUAUCUUGUAUAGAAUAGUUGAAGCAACAACAACCCGCUACAAAGAGACGAGGAUCCCAUUUAUAUAGGAGGGGGAACCUCCCAUAGUAUAAAAUAUUAAUUGGAAAAGCAUGGAGAUAGGACGGCUAGACGCGACGCCUUGAUACAUGCUCUGGGUAGGCUGGCAGUGUCUGACUUCGGCGUGUGCCUUGGGAAUUCCCCAUUUUGCUCUAGCCUCGAUCUAUUUCCUCUUCAUGUCGGGCCUUGACGUGCUUCGGGGGAGGGAACUCUGUCACGCCCCAACCUUGGGAGGCGUGGCUGGCACCCGGUGCUGCCCUGACCCGAGCGAACCACUCUGUGACUGUUUCAUUCUUUUUGUAACUAUCAUUCGUCAAUUGAUGAGUGGUGAUUUUACCACUCAUUCUAGCCUCUUUUGCGUAGCUUUUAUGACCUUUUUAUUAUACAAUGAGGUUGUUUAUGGUGGUUAUUGUUAGAUUUUCAGGUAAAUUAUCCUGUUGAAGUGAAGUGGAAUUGAGGAAAAAGAAGGUGAUACCAUGGAAAACCUCCAGUAAUUUUCGCUUCUGCGGAUAAUUGGUCGCAGGAGCGACUUCUGCUUUUUCGGAUUGUUGACCGCUUCUGCGGAUAAGGAUGAAUAGUCGAGACCCAUUUUUGUAGUUAAAAUUCCGCUUCUGCGUAACCGCAGAAGCACGUUGAGGAUCGCUUCUGCGAUCACUGGCAAAUAGUGACUUUCCUCUUCUGGUUUUGAAUUGUUCCGCAGAUGGUAGAUCGUGCAUCACGCCUGGGGUAGAAUAGGCAUAUCACAUUUUCUCACCCCAAAUCAUUUUUAUACUCGUCUAACGAGAUCUUUUGGAAAUGUUUUGGCUUAUUUUCUGUCCAUAGAGACUAGAGAGAACAAAUUUUGAAGCUAGGGUUUUGCACAAACACACUUGGAUCUUGAAGAUUAAAGCUUGUGGUUAAGGUUUUCUUACCCAUUUAUGUUUGUUUCUUUAUUUUCUUGCUUUAUAUUGAAUAUUUAAGUCUGUAGUAUUUAUUUCCAACACUUGAAUCUUGUAUAUGGGAAUAUUCUUAUUUAAAGUAUGGAUUAAAUAC
RNAcentral lists this long non-coding RNA (5829 nucleotides) under Nicotiana benthamiana. Its description in RNAcentral is "long non-coding RNA (NBEN_LNC036293)". The record is from RNAcentral. Lineage: Eukaryota; Viridiplantae; Streptophyta; Magnoliopsida; Solanales; Solanaceae.